This 92-nucleotide non-coding RNA is filed under the name Glossina morsitans morsitans. Lineage: Eukaryota; Metazoa; Arthropoda; Insecta; Diptera; Glossinidae. The record is from RNAcentral.
CAAUAUGGGUGCCACGGAGGAGUCCGAGGCAUUCAGGUUGCUAAGGAGGGAUGAAACGGGCCAGGGGUGAAAACCAGCAGUCAAGAGUUCNN